UAAUACGUAGGGCGCAAGCGUUGUCCGGAAUUAUUGGGCGUAAAGAGCUCGUAGGCGGCUUGUCGCGUCGGGUGUGAAAGCUUGGGGCUUAACCCCAAGUCUGCAUCCGAUACGGGCAGGCUAGAGGCAGGUAGGGGAGAACGGAAUUCCCGGUGUAGCGGUGAAAUGCGCAGAUAUCGGGAGGAACACCGGUGGCGAAGGCGGUUCUCUGGGCCUGUACUGACGCUGAGGAGCGAAAGCGUGGGGAGCGAACAGGAUUAGAUACCCUGGUAGUCCACGCCGUAAACGUUGGGCGCUAGGUGUGGGGACCUUCCACGGUUUCCGCGCCGCAGCUAACGCAUUAAGCGCCCCGCCUGGGGAGUACGGCCGCAAGGCUA
Molecule: ribosomal RNA, 377 nt
Filed under: uncultured bacterium
Lineage: Bacteria
Description: bacterial SSU rRNA
Rfam family: Bacterial small subunit ribosomal RNA
Source: RNAcentral